AGCUUCCGGAGCAGCUGGGACUGCUGGCGCCCGCCACUACGCUCGGCUAAUUUUUUUGUGUUUUUAGUAGAGACGGGCUUUCACCGUGUUGGCCUAGCGGUUCUCCAACUCCUGACCUCAUGAUCCCCCCGCCUCAGCCUCCCAAAGUGCUGGGAUUACAAGCGUGAGCCACCGCGACCCGCCAACACUCUUGACAACAGUGCUGUGCUAAGAACUUGGGGGACUUCAAAAAGUUCACCAGUUCCUGUGUCCAUGGGUGAAAAGAUUUUCUACAUCUUUCCUUGACUAGAAACAGAAGUCCUGAAACAAGAAUAUAACGUCAGGAGGCCAGAGGCUUUGUCCUGCCUAAUGUGUUAUUUCCACACUGAAUAAAAGCACCUGAGUCCUGGUCUCAGAGUGAGAACAAUGUCUUCUAUGAUGAGUGGCAAACACAACAAGGCAUUUUAAAAAGGUUGUACAUCUAGCAAUACCUAACAAAAUAGGAAAUCAACUUGGAAAGCCAAUGGCUGUGUUUUGAGUUUAUGGAGAGCCAUAUGUGGCAAGGAACUGAGGGUGGCAUCCAGGCAACAGACUUCAAGAAACUGAGGCUGUCAGUCCAACAACCCACAAGAACUGAAUCUGACCAACAAUCACAGGAACAAACUUAGAAGUAUACUCUUUCCCAGACAAACCUUCAGAUGAGACCACAGCCCCAGCCAUAAGCUUGAAAACAAUCUCAUGAGGGACCUUGAGCCACAGGCAUGUAGUAAAGCUAUGCCAGGAAUCCUGCCUGCCCCACAGAAAAUGUAAAAAAAAUAAAUUUUUAUUG
Molecule: long non-coding RNA, 808 nt
Filed under: Homo sapiens (human)
Lineage: Eukaryota; Metazoa; Chordata; Mammalia; Primates; Hominidae
Description: HSALNT0376099
Source: RNAcentral